UUGCGGAUAUGAUGAUGGAACGGUCCGAGAUGUGACAAGAAGAGCAUACUCAUCAAGGACCUAAAUCGCGUAACGAUCGCAAAUAAGUAAUGGCAAGGAAUGCCCGUCGGGGCAAGCAUUACCAGGUGCACAUUUUAAACUUAUAGUACAAACAGUAAUAUGCAACAAAUACAUAGUGAAUGACAGUUGCAUAUAGAAUAUGAAACUUGGAAAAACCUGGAUAGGUUACCUAUCCAGGAUGACGUUUCCAAGAGAAAUUCAGUAGAGAAUAUGUAUUAUUCACAAAUUGUGAAUAACAAGACAAUAACAGAAUUCAGUUUAUAUAGAAACUUGGACGAGAGUGAUCAUCCAAGUAAGUAUUCUCAAUAUAAAUCCUAUUAAGAAAAGUAAUGAUCACAUCAACAAAUGUGAAUAAAUGUUUAUAAAAAGGGACAUUUUACAUGUUCAAGAGGAUAAACGACUAAAACUAAUAAUUGUUAACUAACAAUUAAAUAAAGUUUUACCAAAUGAAAUCAUAAAUAUGGAAAUAAUUUGAGGAGUUACUUACAUGGGACGUGAUGUGGUAAUUAUAAUAAGGUCACGCGUACCAUGUGUUGAUCGCUUACUCUGGCCAAGUAAGUAGUGAACACAUGAUAGCAUGAGCUUCUUAUAAUGAGCGCAGUUAUGUCCGAUGUAGUAAGGUCAAGAUGAAUGAAAAUUUAAAGGAUCCUUAGGGUCAAGAAAUCUUAUGGGCAUACUCGUAUAAAUGGUUUUCACGGGAACCAUAAAAACGACGUAUGGCGCACAUAGAAAUAAAUGACCCAAGGAAAUUCGUGACAUAAGUCAUUUCGGACGAAACAACCAUGGUAGACAAAAAGGGCAUUGUAAAACCAAAGUAUAAAUGACCCGCGGGGUCAUAGAAACAAAGGUAUUGCCCACAUGGAAAAACGAUCAAAGUCGUUGACUUUGGUCGUAGUAAAGAAAUGAUGAUGAUGAUGAUAAUCAUCAUUCAUAGUUUAUAAGACUGUCAAGGAUGGUCGAAUAAAGAAUAAAGGUUUGGUUGAAUAAAAGCGAUGGAUUUCGCUAAGACAACCAAACAAAUUAAAACGAAAUCUUAAUGUAUACCGGAAUGCUUGCACUAAUAAUGACUUCGGUAAAGUACCCGGUUGAUGGGUAAGGAUUUAAACACAUGCGUAAACCGAGAAACGGGAACACGAAUUUAAAGUCAAAAGACUCGGAUUAUGAGUUAUGACUGAAAGACCAUAAAAUUUCGCAAACAGAAAUUUUGAUAAUUAUAUUCAACUAUUUUGAGGUUGAACGGGUUGAAUAAAGUAUAAUGCUUGAUGGCAUAAGUAAGCGCAAGCCGGAUAACGGUAAGCUUGAGACAAACCGAUGCUUAAUUGACGUGAGAAGUCAUAGAGUCGGAAGAAUUAUCCGAAAGAAAACGAUUGUAGACACGAACUACAGUCAAAGUUAACGGAUUUCA
Molecule: long non-coding RNA, 1465 nt
Filed under: Helianthus annuus (common sunflower)
Lineage: Eukaryota; Viridiplantae; Streptophyta; Magnoliopsida; Asterales; Asteraceae
Description: hypothetical non coding rna
Source: RNAcentral